Molecule: non-coding RNA, 194 nt
Organism: Glossina austeni
Lineage: Eukaryota; Metazoa; Arthropoda; Insecta; Diptera; Glossinidae
Source: Rfam
AGGUCCUACCAUCGGAGGCGUGCUAACAACAGCCAGCCUCCGCGAAGUAAUGCCUAAUAGUGGUCCCGCGGGGGAGAGUAGUUGAAGAAACGUUUGAGGAGUAGUUUUUAGUACAUAAGUGCCAUGGAUGGCGAACCGUGCAUGCUGCUGCUAAGAACCAUCAGUAUCUUUUAAAGAUUUUCUACCUCCAACUC